Molecule: non-coding RNA, 22 nt
Filed under: Arabidopsis thaliana (thale cress)
Lineage: Eukaryota; Viridiplantae; Streptophyta; Magnoliopsida; Brassicales; Brassicaceae
Source: RNAcentral
UUUUUUGAUACCUAUAAUAAUU